Molecule: small nuclear RNA, 98 nt
Filed under: Fukomys damarensis (Damara mole-rat)
Lineage: Eukaryota; Metazoa; Chordata; Mammalia; Rodentia; Bathyergidae
Source: RNAcentral
UUGCUUUGGCAGCACACUGACUAAAGCUGUAGUCAUGGAGAUUAGCAAGGUCCACAUGCAAGGAUAACACAUAAAUUUGUCAAGUAUUCCAUAUUUUA